Molecule: non-coding RNA, 860 nt
Organism: Punica granatum (pomegranate)
Lineage: Eukaryota; Viridiplantae; Streptophyta; Magnoliopsida; Myrtales; Lythraceae
Source: RefSeq, a predicted model, not a curated record
AGUUCGAUUCUCAGGUAUUUUUCGGUUCUGUUUUCGAUUUUCCAUUUUUACAAACAAAAAAUAAUUUCUAUUUGGUCGGUUUGGUCCAGUCCGGUUCGGUUUGAACCGAAUGGACAGCCCAAUUUCGAUUGGUCCAGUUCUGUUGAUUUCCCCCGCUCUCGUCUUUUGGUACGCCCCCACCGAUAUCACGUCUACUAACCCCCUGCUUUCAACUUAAAAUUGGUUCUUUCUUGAACUCGGAGAGGUAAAUUCCGGUCGGUAAACUCUAUGUGCUUGGAGAGAGCCUCGAGACAGCACCAGGACGGGCUUUUGGGUUCGUGCCUGGUGGAGAUUGAUAUGUGCUUUUGGUUCGAAGAACCUUGGCUCUCUACUUGUUCUUCAAGGUGGAUCGAAUCUCGAGAUUGCUCCGUAUCAGUAGCUAAUCAAUAAUACAUCCGCAAUGGAGCUGUUGUCCUGCAGGUAUAGCUCCGUGUUAGAAUUUAUCAUGGGAAUACGAAAAUAAUACUUAAAAAUUGCAUCUUUUCGCCGUUUAGUCGCACUUCUGAUUUGUCUGAAUAUAUUUGAUGUCCUUUCUGAGAUUUUUAUCGAGAUAGUGUCGCUGCCAAAGCUUGCAGUUGCGAGCAUGAAAGUAAGGACUCCCCUCUGUCUUACUGAGACCUUCCCUCUUGAUGCACAUAAUUAGGUUCUUGAGGCAUUGUAAAGGAUCAAACUAAUGGCUUUUCUUGGUUUCAUAAAACCAAAAAGUUCUUACGCACGAUAAGGACCUUAUUAUAAUUUAUAAGUUGUGCUUGGCAUCUUCCAAUCCUCCAUAUAUGUAAACUGAAGGCUGGACAAGAUCAAUAAGAUCCAUUUUUUAUCCA